Long non-coding RNA from Xenia sp. Carnegie-2017, 281 nucleotides. RefSeq lists it as uncharacterized. NCBI's taxonomy places the organism in Eukaryota, Metazoa, Cnidaria, Anthozoa, Malacalcyonacea, Xeniidae. The record is from RefSeq and is a predicted model, not a curated record. The transcript is spliced from 2 exons.
CAUUCGCUGUAAUUAUGCCAGCAUACGUACGCGAACUAGGGUUGGGGCACUUAGAUUUUUGUAUAAUAGGUCCCAAGGUGUGAGGUGAGCCAGAAACGACGCUCUGUAUACUACUCAUGCAAUGGGUCUAUAGCCACCCAACGUACGUAAGCUGGAUAAUAAAGAUGUUUAAAAAAGGUUUUUGUUAAAUAAAUACUUGGUGUAAGCUUGGCAACUCGAUGGAGCACAUGGCUUGCCGAUUUUGAAAUGUUUAUUAUCUCGAGUGAAAUUAAAGAUAAAAA